CCUCGGGUGGCAGCAGUGGGGAAUAUUGCGCAAUGGGCGAAAGCCUGACGCAGCGACGCCGCGUGAGGGAUGAAGGUCUUCGGAUCGUAAACCUCUGUCAGCAGGGAAGAACGGUCACUGUGCUAAUCAGCAGUGAAUUGUCGGUACCUGCAAAGGAAGCACCGGCUAACUCCGUGCCAGCAGCCGCGGUAAUACGGAGGAUGCGAGCGUUAUCCGGAUUUAUUGGGUUUAAAGGGUGCGCAGGCGGAAGAUCAAGUCAGCGGUAAAAUGGAGAGGCUCAACCUCUUCGAGCCGUUGAAACUGGUUUUCGUGAGUGAGUGAGAAGUAUGCGGAAUGCGUGGUGUAGCGGUGAAAUGCAGAGAUAUCACGAAGAACGCCGAUUGCGAAGGCAGUUCACUGGACUGCAACUGACACUGAGGCUCGAAAGUGUGGGUAUCAAACAGGAUUAGAUACCCCUGUAGUC
Molecule: ribosomal RNA, 463 nt
Filed under: uncultured bacterium
Lineage: Bacteria
Description: partial 16S ribosomal RNA
Rfam family: Bacterial small subunit ribosomal RNA
Source: RNAcentral